This 366-nucleotide ribosomal RNA is filed under the name Triticum aestivum (bread wheat). RNAcentral's name for it is "partial small subunit ribosomal RNA". The record is from RNAcentral. Lineage: Eukaryota; Viridiplantae; Streptophyta; Magnoliopsida; Poales; Poaceae.
AUGGAGGCGAGGCAGGCGAGCGGGCGCGCCGCGAUGGUGGCGAGGCAGCAGAUCGGCAAGAGGGCGCGCACCGCCGGCACGGUCGACGCCGAACUGCGGCUCGUCCCGCCGGGCUGCGGCGGCGGUGCGUCGUCGGCGGUGUCAGCCAUUUUGCAAGGAGAGCAAGUACGUGAAAGUCAGCGUGGAAGGAGCCCAGCACCAGCGGAUCGUCGAUCUAAGGGCGUACGGAGGGCACGCGGAGCUCUGGGCUGCGCUCCUGGGCUUGGCUGGCCAGAUGCUGGGCCUGGUCGUGACCUACGAGGACAAGGACGGCGACAUCUUGCUCGCCGGCGACCUCCCGUGGGACAUGUUCGUCGAUUUGAUUGA